CAAGCAGUUUUACGCCCCUGUUGUUCCUCAUGCGUCCAGUAGGGGGAGGCUGUAUAUUAGUAUAUGAGCCUAGUCAUCAAAACAGCAGACCAUAUCUGUAUGAUAGCGGCAGACAUUUUUUGAAGCGAUACGAAAUGAGGUAUGUAAAUAAGUUAUUGUUGUUGAUUGUAUUGUAAUGAUGCAACAUUUAUUAUUUAUAAACGAUUGAUGCGAUAUCAAUUCAAAAGAUGGGUCAAUAAUUUAUUUCGAGAGGCAAAAGUACUUGAUUGAGCCAGUCUUUCUUUUUUUCUGGAAAUUAAUUUUUACUCUUUUUCAGUAUGCCCUUUACACUGUGCUGAACACUCCAUUCAAUUUUACUUCGCUUGACAUGCCUGCAAUCAGGGAGUGGUGGUGUCUACGUCUAAUUGAGCGGUUUGAGACAGAGGGGCAUGGGAAAAGGUUCGCCCACUGGACAGAGGAGGCAAGAUGCCUGACUGAAGGGACAUUACGACCACUUUACAGGAGUUUUCCAGGACUAACACAUGACCUACCACAACAUGUUGUUGCCAGUAGGAACCGAAAGUUGUCCAGCCAGGCUCUGGUGGACUUCAUUGUGGCAAGAGGUACCGAUAACCACAUUCAGUCCAUCAUCAGUGGACAAAAAAAAUCACAGUGGCUUGACACUUUUUCCAAGUGUUCCAUAAAGAAAGUGCCUGUGCCAUUGUUCAUUGAAGAUCAGGAACAAAUUGAUAUUAUCUACACUCACCUGACUUCAAUUCUGAACAGUACACCCACACACACCACACAGUGACCAGAUCAGAUUUAUUAUGGAUGUCCUUUUUCCAGAGUCCAUCAUCUGUGCUCUUGCUGUUGUGGAACAUGUGUCCAUCAUGGAGGCUGAGGAGAAAUUCCUGCGAGGACCUGUCAUUGACGCAAGUGAGCGGGAGCACUUUGACAGCAGGAUAAAAAAACAAUUAAAGAAGAGUGGCAAGCCAUAGGAGAGUCUACAGGAGUCAUGCAGAAUCUACAGGAAGAAAUAAGUCAUGGUGUUAAUAAAUAUUUUUGUGAACAACAA
Molecule: long non-coding RNA, 1054 nt
Organism: Cyprinus carpio (common carp)
Lineage: Eukaryota; Metazoa; Chordata; Actinopteri; Cypriniformes; Cyprinidae
Exons: 6
Source: RefSeq, a predicted model, not a curated record